CCUACGGGUGGCAGCAGUAGGGAAUAUUGCUCAAUGGGGGAAACCCUGAAGCAGCAACGCCGCGUGGAGGAUGAAGGUUUUCGGAUUGUAAACUCCUUUUGUUAGAGAAGAUAAUGACGGUAUUUAACGAAUAAGCACCGGCUACCUCGGUGCCAGCAGCCGCGGUAAUACAGAGGGUGCAAGCGUUACUCGGAAUCACUGGGCGUAAAGAGCGCGUAGGCGGGAUAGCAAGUCAGAUGUGAAAUCCUAUGGCUUAACCAUAGAACUGCAUUUGAAACUGUUAUUCUAGAGUAUGGGAGAGGGAGGUGGAAUUCUUGGUGUAGGAGUAAAAUGCGUAGAGAUCGAGAGGAAUACUCGUUGCGAAGGCGACCUGCUAGAACAUAACUGACGCUGAUGCGCGAAGGCGUGGGGAGCAAACAGGAUUAGAUACCCCAGUAGUC
Molecule: ribosomal RNA, 440 nt
Filed under: uncultured bacterium
Lineage: Bacteria
Description: partial 16S ribosomal RNA
Rfam family: Bacterial small subunit ribosomal RNA
Source: RNAcentral